Phalacrocorax carbo (great cormorant) is the source of this 2159-nucleotide non-coding RNA. NCBI's taxonomy places the organism in Eukaryota, Metazoa, Chordata, Aves, Suliformes, Phalacrocoracidae. The record is from RefSeq and is a predicted model, not a curated record.
UGGUACCUGUGAGAGGGAAAAACAUACAUAGUAUCUGGGAAACGUGUUGUUUUACUAGCCAACUCCCCACACUUUCACAGUCACCUUUGUCAUCUGAUCAGUAUUUGCUGUUAGGGAAAGAAAUAGGAAACUAUGAAAAUAAUAAACCGGGUCAAACACCUCCAUAUCCUGUUCUUCUACAGCCCAGUGUACCCCACUGAAAUGCGCUCCGUAGCCACGUAUGUUCUUCCACCCAGCUUUGAUAGCAAACACGCACGUUAAGGUCUUGGCAUGAUCAAUACGGAAAAGCCGCAGAACUGCAAGCGAGCAGGAGGCGACGCAGCUCCGCCCUGGGGCCGGUCCGAGCCGCCGCCAGCCUGUCCGUCGGUCGGCUCCUCCGUCCUCCGCGGGUGGCGGGGCGGAAGCGCUGCAGCCUCCCUGCUCUGUAAAAGCCCUUCUCCCGGCGCUGGGGGGGGGGAAGGAAGACCCUGCCAGCAGGGCGGCUGUUCGUACCUACACGGAGCAAAAACCUUGACCAAAAGGAGCGGGCACCAGCUUUAUUCUAUACAGCGGCAUUUUCGCUUUACAGAUAUGUGAAACUGAUUUUUUGGGAAGCCUCUGAACAACGACAACCGCGUUUUCUUCGUAACGCAACUAGGGCACAAGAGCGCGCCGUCAGCCCCAGCCCGCCCCGGCCCCGGCCGCCCCCGCCCCGCGCCACCCCGCUCACCCGCUGCAGCGUCUCCUGGUUCACCUCCGCCUUCCCGCGCAGCCGCUCCGGCACGAACGCCACCGACAUGGCGCCGCCGCCGCCCCGCGCGAGGGCCGAGGGGAGCCGGGGGCCCCGCCCCCCGCGCGCGGUGGCUGCUGCCGUCACACGGCCCCGCCCCGCCCGUGAAAGCCGCGGCCAGGCCCGACCACCUCUUUCCCUGCCCCGUCGCUGCAGGGCGCGGCCCUCCAGCGCUCCUGCCGGGCAUAGCCACAACGAACAACCUCCCAGAGUCUGAUUUUAUUGAACAGUUUAUUCUGGUUUAAAAUAAAAAUUAAAAAAAAAAAAAAAAAAAGAGAGAGAAACUCUCACUUUCGUGGAGCAAGGUACACUGAAGGUAUGCCACGCCGCCGCUUCCCGGGCACGGAGCAGCCUGCUGCGUCACCCCCGGCCAGGGGAAAGGCUGACAUUCAGGCCCUCGCAGCAGGUAUCACGGGUAUUUACAAAUUCAUCGCGUUUAAAUAAGCCUGGGACACCUCAUACAGCAUACAGAGUUAUUGCAACAGUACAGCACUUGUCUCUAUGGUCAAAAACCUCAGCGGCUGUUCAGAGUCAUGAUUUCGUGGAUCCCAAAAGGCAGCGUUGUUAACAUGCAAAAACAUUACUAAACAAUAUUAUCUAACUUCUACAGUUGCCAAAUACCUGACCUUAAUAAGGAAACCAAUUACAAAAUACUUCCGUGUAGUGCUAUACAAAAGUUAUAAAAUUAAGAUUCUAUCAACCACUUUUAAAUAUUCCAAUUUUCCAACAGUGCAGUUUUCCACAUCUUUAUCACCACUGAACAUCUUGAAGAUAAUGUAAAAAAAAGAAAAGAAAAAAUCAGCAAAUUAGAUCAAAACAUUUUAAUCUUUGGAUCCCUUUAUUCCUGUGGCCUUCAUACACAUAUACAGACACAAAUGACCAGGUUUCUAUUUCAGCUUCUCAGAAAGUUGUAACUGGUCUUUCAGAAUUGGCAAAAAGUCCACACAAUGUCAUUUGUGACUUCACGGUCUUGGAACCAGAGUCUCAAUGUCUCCAAGCUAUGGUCUAUCAAAAUGCAAACAACUUCAAACACUAAGAAUUCUUUAAAUUGCUUAUGCCUACAGGUAUUACAAUAAAGUUAACAUUUCAAGAAUUGACAAAUGGAGACAUCCUUUUGUCCCAGGCAUUCCAGGAGAAUCACAAACUCGCGUGCCUGGUCCAUUAUUAAAAAAGUUAAUAUUUAUCGCUAAGUAAAAUUAAUUGCAAAUUUUGACAUAUGAAAAUUUCUUUCCUCCUCAUUUGAAAAUAUCUCCUUAAUUUGGUCAAAUCCUGUGAUAUGCCAGAAACUACAAAAUCAAAUUCUUGCGAGAGAAGUGAAGAGUGUAUCCAGUUUUGUGAAUGGAAGAACGUUUUCAAAUCUUCAUUACAGUCUGAAUAUAAAAAUCAAACC